UUUCCGUAGGUGAACCUGCGGAAGGAUCAUUAACACUAAUCCGUCUCAACUCAACCAAGCCUUCAGUUGCAGCAGUAGCUCGCCUUGUGCGUGCCGCUGGUGCAGCAACACAAACAUAAUUACGCAAAGGAGCCUAACUAAGCUCAACCAUAAAUCCAAAUUCUCAACGAUGGAUAUCUUGGUUCCC
RNAcentral lists this unclassified non-coding RNA (187 nucleotides) under soil metagenome. Its description in RNAcentral is "partial contains small subunit ribosomal RNA, internal transcribed spacer 1, and 5.8S ribosomal RNA". The record is from RNAcentral.